This 449-nucleotide ribosomal RNA is filed under the name uncultured bacterium. Its description in RNAcentral is "partial 16S ribosomal RNA". It matches the Rfam family "Bacterial small subunit ribosomal RNA", at positions 29 to 523 of the family's 1533-position model. The record is from RNAcentral.
AGCGAACGCUGGCGGCAGGCCUAACACAUGCAAGUCGAACGAACUCUUCGGAGUUAGUGGCGGACGGGUGAGUAACACGUGGGAACGUGCCUUUAGGUUCGGAAUAACUCAGGGAAACUUGUGCUAAUACCGAAUGUGCCCUUCGGGGAAAAGAUUUAUCGCCUUUAGAGCGGCCCGCGUCUGAUUAGCUAGUUGGUGAGGUAAAGGCUCACCAAGGCGACGAUCAGUAGCCGGUCUGAGAGGAUGAUCAGCCACAUUGGGACUGAGACACGGCCCAAACUCCUACGGGAGGCAGCAGUGGGGAAUCUUGCGCAAUGGGCGAAAGCCUGACGCAGCCAUGCCGCGUGAAUGAUGAAGGUCUUAGGAUUGUAAAAUUCUUUCACCGGGGACGAUAAUGACGGUACCCGGAGAAGAAGCCCCGGCUAACUUCGUGCCAGCCGCCGCGGUAA